GUUUGAUCCUGGCUCAGAGCGAACGUUAGCGGCAGGCUUAACACAUGCAAGUCGAGCGACAAAGGGGCUUCGGCCCUGAGUAGAGCGGCGGACGGGUGCGUAACACGUGGAUAAUCUGCCUCGUGGCGGGGGAUAACAGUCCGAAAGGACUGCUAAUACCGCAUGUCAGGUCGGAAACCCCGGUUUCUGACGAAAAAGAGGGCGCCCGCAAGGGGCUCUCACCACGAGAUGAGUCCGCGGCCCAUCAGCUAGUUGGCGGUGUAAUAGACCACCAAGGCUAAGACGGGUAGCUGGUCUGAGAGGAUGACCAGCCACACUGGGACUGAGACACGGCCCAGACUCCUACGGGAGCAGCAGUGGGGAAUAUUGGACAAUGGGCGAAAGCCUGAUCCAGCCAUGCCGCGUGAGUGAUGAAGGUCUUCGGAUCGUAAAGCUC
RNAcentral lists this ribosomal RNA (436 nucleotides) under uncultured bacterium. Its description in RNAcentral is "bacterial SSU rRNA". It matches the Rfam family "Bacterial small subunit ribosomal RNA", at positions 11 to 433 of the family's 1533-position model. The record is from RNAcentral.